GACGGAGGAUGCAAGCGUUAUCCGGAAUGAUUGGGCGUAAAGCGUCCGCAGGUGGCAGUUCAAGUCUGCUGUCAAAGACCGGGGCUUAACUUCGGAAAGGCAGUGGAAACUGAACAGCUAGAGUAUGGUAGGGGCAGAGGGAAUUCCUGGUGUAGCGGUGAAAUGCGUAGAGAUCAGGAAGAACAUCGGUGGCGAAGGCGCUCUGCUGGACCAUAACUGACGUUCAGGUACGAAAGCGUGGGGAGCAAACAGG
Molecule: ribosomal RNA, 253 nt
Filed under: uncultured bacterium
Lineage: Bacteria
Description: partial 16S ribosomal RNA
Rfam family: Bacterial small subunit ribosomal RNA
Source: RNAcentral